CACCUUGGUUUGAGCAUGCUUCGGUCAACACUUACUUAUUUAGUGUUGGCCUGCCUAGCUUUCUUUCUUCAUUUACUCAACCGCCUAGAGUUCGUAUUGCUUUUCCUUAUGCAUGAGAAAAACAAUGACUGGCAGUGAGAAGAUAACCUAGCCCAAAAUCAAAAUCACGAUGUUGAGGAGGACGGUCAUAUAAAUCAAUCAAACAAUAGGAAUAAAUCAAUAAAUAGGAGGAGACUUUGGCAUGCGGCACAUGGCUCUUGGGCAUGAAUAUGUACAGCCACGGAACAGACAAAAGAUAAAUAUUAAUUCAUUCGUGAAGUAACACACAGUAAUCCAUGAAAGAGGACAUCUUGUUUCUUUAAGGAAUCUUGAAAAACAUAAUGCCCCAGGAACUUUACAGAUGAUACUGUGUCAACUGACUUUAUGUCAAUUUCUCAAC
This is a non-coding RNA of Pantherophis guttatus, 439 nucleotides long. NCBI's taxonomy places the organism in Eukaryota, Metazoa, Chordata, Lepidosauria, Squamata, Colubridae. The record is from RefSeq and is a predicted model, not a curated record.